Molecule: long non-coding RNA, 1729 nt
Organism: Malaclemys terrapin pileata
Lineage: Eukaryota; Metazoa; Chordata; Testudines; Emydidae
Exons: 3
Source: RefSeq, a predicted model, not a curated record
UGGUGUAUACUAUACCAAAUGGAGACUUUCAGGAUUCUGUUUCAAUUGGCAUUCAAGGAAAAGCUAAUGAAUGAAGUGGCUAGAUGAAAGUGUCUGCACUAUAGCCUUCGCAAGUGAACAGAAAAUUGAAAGGGUCUGUGAUGGGGGUAUUCACCCUACAACAUUCCUGAAGGGGUGGAGGUAGGCUAGACGGGCCAAUUAACCACCUAGACUAAUCCUGGAGGGGAGCCAGGGAUCAAUAACGUUUUAUUAAGGAUGAAGUUCACCUGGGCAGGAACAGGUGGGACUUCUAUAAAGCGAAGAAGCUGAGACCAGAUGGAGGCUGCAGGGGGAAAUAAUCUGCAGUCACUCCCUGACAGGAGGGAGGUUUGUUACAGAUUACAGGGUCUGGCACGAAGCCAGAGGGGGAAGUAGCCAGAGGGAGCGGAGAAAGCUUGGGUGGGUGCUAAACCCAGAGGUGCCAGAGGAAAGAAAGAGGGGGUAGGACUGAGCCCAGGGAAGUAACAACCAGGUCUGGGAGUCAGUAGAACCAUAGUUGCGGAGCAUAGGGUGUGUGGGCUGGAACCUAGGUUAGUUCGUGGGCCUGGGUUCCUCUACCAGCCACUGGGUAUGUGGCACAGCUUUGGAUGUAGAACGGAGGACUGCUUGGAAGGGCAGAGGAACAGCUUGUCCUGAGAAACACUGACAGACCUUCUGGAAGGGGAGAAUUAAAGUGUCCAGGCCGGAGGGUCGAGUCACAAAGAAGAAGAAUACCCAGACCUGGAGGGUGAGAUGGAGACAACAGGCUGAGUGACCGCAGGAAGGGGUGUCUGACCAAUAGUGAGCUAAUCCCCAGAUGAAUCACAAGGUGGCACGCCAGCGGUGAGUAGCAACCCCAUUACAAGGUCCAAAUGAUUAGGUCCCCCCGUGACCUGAGCUAGAAGUUGGUAACUACUACUUAUGUGCCUAGUUUUGCGUUACAGUGGAAAAUAAACAGGAAAUAGUUCAGUAACUGGAGCAUGACUGGAACAAACUCUACUGUGGUUAAAAGCCUGUGCAUUGUGGAUACAUAACACUACUCUUCAGGGUUGGCAGGCGUUUUGCUUUGAUAAUGAAAAAUGUUUGAAAGUAAACUCCCCAUAAUUUAAAGAAUUCAUAUAAUCUAUCAGAAAUAAUAACCAACCUUUGAGCACAAGUAUAAAAGACUAUAUUAUGUCUGGCACACGCAGUAAAACCUUCCCACCUAUAGUCCCUUAAUGCAACUCUUUAUUCUCUUUUGUAAAGGACUACUGAUGCCUCUGUCAUUCUGUGACAGAAGUGGAGCUGAUACAUACCACUGUUAUGAAUACUGUUGGACCUGCUAGAACUAGGAGGCUGGAGAGCAAAUGGAGACUGAAGAGUUAAAAAGCACUUCCUGAAGGGGAGAAGAGUCGCUUGUGAGCAGCCAAGCUGGCACAGACAGGGCUGUGUGGAGGAGUCUGGAGGAAUUGGGUCUCCUAGAUCCAGGGAAUGGUAAGCCUUAGGGAAGAAUUAGGGGAAUGGAAUUGCAUAAACCAGACUUGCUGAGGUGAUCACAGUUGAGACCCAGGGGACUGCAACCCAGCUCCUGGUCUGAGAGUGGAGAAUCCUGUCAUUCCAUCCCAAGAGAAGAGACAACCCAAGGCCUGAGACCUAGAGAGGUGUGCACUGAGAGACCAGGAAGGCUCAGAGGCAAAGUUUACCUGGUAACUGUGAAAGCUUUAUGGGCAGU